UGGGGAAUUUUGGACAAUGGGCGAAAGCCUGAUCCAGCGAUGCCGCGUGUGUGAAGAAGGCCUUCGGGUUGUAAAGCACUUUUGUCCGGAAAGAAAUCCUUGGCUCUAAUACAGUCAGGGGAUGACGGUACCGGAAGAAUAAGCACCGGCUAACUACGUGCCAGCAGCCGCGGUAAUACGUAGGGUGCAAGCGUUAAUCGGAAUUACUGGGCGUAAAGCGUGCGCAGGCGGUUUGCUAAGACCGAUGCGAAAUCCCCGGGCUCAACCUGGGAACUGCAUUGGUGACUGGCAGGCUAGAGUAUGGCAGAGGGGGGUAGAAUUCCCACGUGUAGCAGUGAAAAUGCGUAGAGAUGUGGAGGAAUACCGAUGGCGAAGGCAGCCCCCUGGGCCAAUACUGACGCUCAUGCACGAAAGGCGUGGGGGAGCAAACAGGAUUAGAUACCCUGGUAGUCCACGCCCUAAACGAUGUCAACUAGUUGUUGGGGAUUCAUUUCCUUAGUAACGUAGCUAACGCGUGAAGUUGACCGCCUGGGGAGUACGGUCGCAAUGAUUAAAAACUCAAAGGAAUUGACGGGGGUUCAAUAG
This 585-nucleotide ribosomal RNA is filed under the name uncultured bacterium. Its description in RNAcentral is "partial 16S ribosomal RNA". It matches the Rfam family "Bacterial small subunit ribosomal RNA", at positions 355 to 929 of the family's 1533-position model. The record is from RNAcentral.